RNAcentral lists this ribosomal RNA (1495 nucleotides) under uncultured marine eukaryote. RNAcentral's name for it is "bacterial SSU rRNA". It matches the Rfam family "Bacterial small subunit ribosomal RNA". The record is from RNAcentral.
GAGUUUGAUCAUGGCUCAGAAUGAACGCUGGCGGUAUGCCUUACACAUGCAAGUCGAACGGGGUUUUUUAAAAUCCAAGUGGACGACGGGUGAGUAACACGUAAGAAUUUACCUCUAGGAGGGGGAUAACAAUUCGAAGACUGCUGCUAAUACCCCAUAUGCUUUGGCGAAAUUAAUUGUGCAUAUGUAGUAAAAGGCAUAGAUAAUAAAUGUCUUUUUUCAGACAGACCUAUGUGCCUAGAGAGAAGCUUGCGGCUGAUUGAUUAGCUGCCGAGCUGAUGCUUCACCACGGCCACGAUCCCUAUCUGGGUUGACAGGAUCAAAUCACUCACUGUGGCUGAAACCCUGACCGUGCUCCUGCGCGAGGCGGAUGAGGGGAAUUUUCCGCAAUGGGCGAAAGCCUGACGGAGCAAUACCGCGUGAGGGAUGACGGCCUAUGGGUUGUAAACCUCUUUUUUCAGGGAGGAUAAAUGACGUGUACCUGAAGAAUAAGCAUCGGCUAACUCCGUGCCAGCAGCCGCGGUAAGACGGAGGAUGCAAGUGUUAUCCGGAAUCACUGGGCGUAAAGGGUGUGUAGGUGGAUUAAUAAGUCAACUGUUAAAUCUCGAGGCUCAACCUCAAAAUCGCACUUGAAACUAUUAGUCUAGAGUAUAGUAGGGGUAAAGGGAAUUUCCAGUGGAGCGGUGAAAUGCGUAGAGAUCGGAAAGAACACCGAUGGCGAAGGCACUUUACUGGGCUAAUACUAACACUCAGACACGAAAGCUAGGGUAGCAAAAGGGAUUAGAUACCCCAGUAGUCCAAGCCGUAAACGAUGGAUAUUAGGGGUUGGGCACAUCGACCUGUGCCGUGUCAAAGGUUAAGCGUUAAGUAUGCCGCCUACGAAGUAUACUCUCAAGAGUGAAAGUCAAAGGAAGGGACGGCGCCCCCGACAAAGCAUGGAGCAUGUGGUUUAAUUCGAUGCAACACGAAGAACCUUACCAGGGUUAACAUGAUUUUCCAGAGAUGAAAAAGAAAAGACCCUUUUGGGAAACAAUACACACAUGGCGCAUGUCAGUUGUCAUCUUGAGUCGUGAGAUGUAGGGUUAAGUCCCGCACCGAGCUCAACCCUCAUUUUUAGCUGGUUUAUAGAGGGACAAAAAGGAGACCGGUCUAAACCGGAGGAAGGCGGGGAUGACGUCAAGUCAGCAUGCCCCUUACAUCCUGGGGUACACACGUGCUACAAUGGAUGAGACAAUGAGAUGCAAUUCUGCAAAGAGGAGAUAAUCUCCUCAUCAUUGGGCCCUCGGAGGACAGGAGUCAACUACUCGACUCCAAGAAGUAAGAAUUAGUAAUAAUGGGUCAUCUACUCAGCGGUGAAUUAUUUGCCGGGCGGCGUUCACCCCAUCCGUCACACCAUCGAAGCUGGUUAUUCCCGAAGUCGCUACUUUAACCUUUUAUUGGAGACAAGGUCCUAAGGCAGAAUUAGUGAUUGGGAUGAAGUCGUAACAAGGUAACC